Long non-coding RNA from Lotus japonicus, 919 nucleotides. RefSeq lists it as uncharacterized. The record is from RefSeq and is a predicted model, not a curated record. The transcript has 2 exons. NCBI's taxonomy places the organism in Eukaryota, Viridiplantae, Streptophyta, Magnoliopsida, Fabales, Fabaceae.
UACCACCGUAGUUCAGUUUAUUCACAACCAUUGGAUAUAUUAAUUUUAAAUUGACAGGUUGAGAUUAAAGUUAGUAGAAAUUUGAAUUUACUAAAAUAUCUUUGUCAUCAACAAACCCUCCUCUCUCUUCUGGGCUCUGUCUCCUUGCGCGUCUCUUUCUCUCUCUUAUGUGUUGAUCUUCUCACUCAACCUUAGUAACACUUAAUCUGGUAAUUUGCCUAAAAAACACUCAAACUGAAUGCCAAACUAAAACAAAAAAUUGAAACUUUUGCUCAGUUCAGUGCUUUUUUUGGAUCUGAUUCUUGGGACUCAUGGAAGAGGAUCUGGGUAGGGGAGGUUUGAGGUGCUUGAAGAUGUGGAGAAUCAAUAUAUUCAAAGGGGUGACCAAGCUUCAAUCAUUGGGGUGCAAUAGAUUUUAUGAAGGAGUUGGAGCAGUUGGUUCAAUCCCUUGAAUCACAGAAAAGGAUGAGAAAAAAUAAAGAGGGUUGUUCUUCUUCAUCUAUGUUUUCUAAGCCACCAUCAGAUUCAUCUCCAUCACCUGGUUUUGGAAUGAGGUCAUCAUCAUCCACAUAAGUCAGAAGGAUAAGCUGUUGAGAAAAAGAAGCAGAUUUUCUCAGAUUUGCUAGCACAGUGCAGAAAACCAGUGAAGAAGAUGAGGAUAAUAUUGUCCAAGGAAUAAAUAAAUUGAGGGUAUUAUUGUCACUACAUCUAAAAUUUUAUGUGUAGCACCGUGAGUCAGUUUUUAACUGACCCACCAAAGACGUAGUCUAUUUUCUCGAGACUCGGAUCUAAAACAAAACCACGUGCUGAUGUUUUUAUCCAAACAUCAGGACUGAAAUUAAUUGUAUUGAACUAUUGAUCAUUUGUUGUGAUUCACGGAACGCCAGAAUAAAUUAUCUUCUUUUGUUAAAAAGCCCAA